AGCUUGUACGAUUGUCAAACAAUAGUUAGAAGACAUGUGUAGUGGGACCUAAAUAGUUGCAGUCUUGGCCAUAAAAAAAUAGAAACUGUCAACGUUGACGACAGCAGCGUUUAAUGGCAUUCAAUUUAUGGCUGUGGGAAUUGUGUGAGUAGUGAGGAAUGGAUAGAGAUAGAGACGUAGAGGGGUGGCGUAGUGUUGUGGGUGCGUAGCGCGUUUAUCAGUUGAGCAGCUCGUUCAGUUAGUGCACCUGGCUUAAUUGUCAUGUGUCGGUUAUGGUCAAUUAGUCAAGAACGCAGUUGCUAUCAAAUGUUUGCCCAAGGCUCGCCUAGGACGUGCAUGCGUACGUGUGUGUGUGUGUGUUAGUUGUAGGUGUCUGUGUGUGUGUGUGUGUGAAUGCCGGCAUAGUGCAAUAACGGGGCACAAAGUCACAAAGUGAGCGCGCUGUUUUUGCCGUCUCAUUCACGCGGCUGUUGCCAUCUUUGUCUCUGCUGCUCGCUGCUGCUGGCUUUGCAAAUGCAAAAUGCUUGGCAUGCCUUUUGCGCCCUGACGUAUGCAGCAGUUGGUCACAUUUUUCAACGCCACACACACACACACACAGACACAGACAAACGAGUGUCGGUGUGUGUGUUCGCUCUGUUCGUUUCGUUUCGUUUCUUCGUUCACUCGUUCGCUGCUCGUUUUUACUUGCUUGCUUGCCUGCUUGCUUCUCGCUGCUCUCGUCGCUUCGAUGGCUUGUGCUUUCGUUUGUCCUGUCCUGGGCCUGUCCCAAUGACCGAGUGUGGCGUGGCAUGGCGCCGCGCUCUCUCUAUCUCUCACUCUCUCUCUCCGCCCGAAACUGGAAACUGGCACACAGCCGAUGUCGAUGCCGUUGCCGUUGCCGUUACCGAUGCCUGAAGUCGGUAGCUGCCGCUGUCGACGAAGCUUCAAAGCCGAAGCGAUUGCCACAAAACUCAACGAAAGUCGCACUCUGUGAACGCACACGCGCUGCGGCAGCUGACAGUUUCAGUGAACCACGGAGACGAACGGAUUACGGCGCUGGGAACCAACAAAACAGUAAAUAAUAAUACAAACCAAAAAAAAAAAGAAAAACAAAAUACCAGAAAAACCCAUGAAAUAAAAUAGCAAAGAAAGUAAAACAAAAAACAACAACACCAAUAAAUAAAAUAGUUAAAAAAAACAAAACAACAAAGCACGCGUACGCAUCGCAAAACAACACAAAAAAAAACAACAAAA
This is a long non-coding RNA of Drosophila sulfurigaster albostrigata, 1233 nucleotides long. RefSeq lists it as uncharacterized. The record is from RefSeq and is a predicted model, not a curated record. NCBI's taxonomy places the organism in Eukaryota, Metazoa, Arthropoda, Insecta, Diptera, Drosophilidae. The transcript is spliced from 2 exons.